This is a long non-coding RNA of Zingiber officinale, 340 nucleotides long. RefSeq lists it as uncharacterized. The record is from RefSeq and is a predicted model, not a curated record. NCBI's taxonomy places the organism in Eukaryota, Viridiplantae, Streptophyta, Magnoliopsida, Zingiberales, Zingiberaceae. The transcript has 3 exons.
UUUGUGCCAGUGAGUUUGGCCGGAAGAGGGAGUAUUGAGCUCUCUACUGAUCCUACUAUCCUAGCACUGUCUGCGAUUCUUUGAUCUCUUCUCUGGCUGACGGCGAGGAGCACAAAUUCACCCUAGCAGCGAUUUUGGAGGUAGAAGAUGAGUAAGAUUCCAGCCACCACGAUACUGUUCGCUAGAGUUUUCCUUCGCCCGAUCGCUCAUCACCUCCGACUAGUGGGGAGAAAGAGGAGUUUGAUACGAUAUGAGCAUCUCGACGUCGGAUUUGGACUGGAUUGGACCUUCCUAUUGGAGCCGGGUACCUCUUGACUUAUCUUUUAUGAUAUUGUCAUUG